AUACUUACCUGGCAGGGGAGAUACCAUGAUCACGAAGGUGGUUUCCCCAAGGUGAAGGCUCAUCCAUUGCACUCCAGAUGUGCUGACCCUGAGAUUUCCCCAAAUGUAGGAAACUCGACUGCAUAAUUUGUGGUAGUGGGGGACUGCAUUUGUGCUCUCCCCUG
RNAcentral lists this small nuclear RNA (164 nucleotides) under Tupaia belangeri chinensis (Chinese tree shrew). Its description in RNAcentral is "Tupaia chinensis (Chinese tree shrew) U1 spliceosomal RNA". It matches the Rfam family "U1 spliceosomal RNA". From Rfam's summary of the family: U1 is a small nuclear RNA (snRNA) component of the spliceosome (involved in pre-mRNA splicing). Its 5' end forms complementary base pairs with the 5' splice junction, thus defining the 5' donor site of an intron. There are significant differences in sequence and secondary structure between metazoan and yeast U1 snRNAs, the latter being much longer (568 nucleotides as compared to 164 nucleotides in human). The record is from Rfam by way of RNAcentral. Lineage: Eukaryota; Metazoa; Chordata; Mammalia; Scandentia; Tupaiidae.